CCUACGGGCGGCAGCAGUGAGGAAUAUUGGUCAAUGGGCGCGAGCCUGAACCAGCCAAGUAGCGUGAAGGAUGACUGCCCUACGGGUUGUAAACUUCUUUUAUAAAGGAAUAAAGUGAGGCACGUGUGCCUUUUUGUAUGUACUUUAUGAAUAAGGAUCGGCUAACUCCGUGCCAGCAGCCGCGGUAAUACGGAGGAUCCGAGCGUUAUCCGGAUUUAUUGGGUUUAAAGGGUGCGUAGAUGGGUUGUUAAGUCAGUUGUGAAAGUUUGCGGCUCAACCGUAAAAUUGCAAUUGAUACUGGCAGUCUUGAGUACAGUUGAGGUAGGCGGAAUUCGUGGUGUAGCGGUGAAAUGCUUAGAUAUCACGAAGAACCCCGAUGGCGAAGGCAGCUUACUAAACUGUGACUGACAUUGAUGCUCGAAAGUGUGGGGAGCAAACAGGAUUAGAUACCCCAGUAGUC
Molecule: ribosomal RNA, 460 nt
Filed under: uncultured bacterium
Lineage: Bacteria
Description: partial 16S ribosomal RNA
Rfam family: Bacterial small subunit ribosomal RNA
Source: RNAcentral